Molecule: non-coding RNA, 4568 nt
Organism: Lactuca sativa (garden lettuce)
Lineage: Eukaryota; Viridiplantae; Streptophyta; Magnoliopsida; Asterales; Asteraceae
Source: RefSeq, a predicted model, not a curated record
AAUUCAAAGAGGAAAUAUCGUGAAAGCCUCCUCUCAAGUCUCAAUAGUUAAGGCAAAAGGAAAACCACACAUUCUGUCUCAAUUCCUUGCCGUCUCCCUUCCUUCCUCGUUGACUUGCCGUUUACCGGGGGGACUUUGCGCCGUUCACUCUGCAGUUUUCAUUCGUCAUCCGCUAUUCUCACUGCUUCAGGUCUCGUUGUUAUUCUGUAGCUAGGCAGACAUAAUUGAGGAAAUCCUGGGAUACAAAAGCUUCAGAAUACAAGCUUCAAACCAACGGUCAUAGAUCAUAAUGGUUGUUCUCUCUGAACUUUGUGAAGGAUCUUCAUCUUCUUCAUCAACUCAAGCUCAUAGAUAUGACGUAUUUUUAAGUUUCAGAGGUGUUGACACUCGUCAUGGUUUCACUAAUCACCUUUACAAUGCACUCAUGCAUGCCAAUAUUAGUACCUUCUUUGAUGAUGAAGAGAUUGAAACAGGGGAAGAUUUGAAACCAGAAUUGGAAUAUGCCAUUAAAUCAUCUAGGGCUUCUGUUAUCGUGUUGUCCAAAAAUUAUGCUACUUCCACAUGGUGUCUUGAUGAACUGGUGUUGAUCCUUGAGCAACGUAUGAAAUCCAAUCAUAUUGUCAUCCCCAUCUUUUAUCAUGUUGAGCCCACCAAUGUCAGGAAGCAACAAAGUAGCUUCGGAGAUGCAAUGGCUAAGCAUAAACAGAAGAUGGAGGUAGAGACAAAUUCAACUAAAAGAAAUCAAUGGGUUCAAAAGAUAGAGCUUUGGAAUAAAGCGCUUAGAGAAGUUGCUGACUUAAAAGGGAAGGAUGCAAACGGCAGGCAAGAGGUGGAGUUAAUUGAUGAAAUUGUGAAGGACAUCUUCCGUAGAUUAUGUGUAUCGUCCAGGUUUCCACUACCACAACUUAUUGGGAUGGAAAACUCCAUUGAACUUGUCACUUCGUGGUUGAAAGAUGCAACAUCCCAUACGACAGAUAUACUCACUAUUUUGGGUAUGGGUGGGAUCGGGAAGACGUCUUUAGCGAAAUAUGUCUAUGUGCUACAUUCUCAUGAAUUUGACAACAGCAGCUUCAUUGCAGAUAUCAAUAGGCGAUGUUAUACAAAAUAUAAUGGGAUGAUUGAUGUACAAAAACAACUCUACAAUGACAUCUCCAAACCAAGUUCAGUUCAAGUUCAUGAUGUUUCUGUAUACACCUCAAUGAUUGAGAAUGCAUUAGCCCGUAAAAAGGUGUUUCUAGUUCUUGAUGAUAUUGGUAGUAUCGAUCAGCUAGAUGCGUUACUUGGAAGCAAAGGUUUUCACCCAGGAAGCAAAAUUCUAAUAACAACAAAGGAUGCAUGGUUGACACAGAGUAGUUUACCAUUCAAAACGAACAUUAAACCCAACUAUACAGAGCACAAGCUUAGAGGCUUAUCUACUAUUGAAGCACGAAAACUUUUGUGUUUUCAUGCAUUCAUGUGCAACAAGCCCAAGGCAGGUUAUGAAGAGGUGUCAGAAAAACUUGUGAAGUAUUGUGACGGACAUCCAAUGGCUCUUAAAGUUUUGGGUAGGUCUCUACAUAAUCGAGAUGUAACUUAUUGGGAGGGGUACAUAGACACGCUAAAGAAAGAAAAUAAUUCCCCUAUAAAUAAUGUCUUGAGAAUGAGCUUUGACUCUUUGUCAUCAGAAAAUGACAAGGACUUGUUUAAGCAUAUUUCUUGUUUUUUUGUUGGAAUGGAUAAAAAUGAUACUCUAACAAUAUUAGAGGCGUGCGAUAUAGAAACAAAAACUGGAAUCACGAAUCUUAUCGACAAAUGCCUUCUUAAUAUCGGAUGGUAUAAUGAAUUGACGAUGCAUCAGUUGGUUCAAGAGAUGGGAAGAUUUGUGGUACGUGAAGAAUCACUUAGCUGUCCAUGGGAACGAAGUCGAUUAUGGGGUCAUGAGUCAUUUAGAGUGUUAAAUCAAGAAAUGGGUACGAAAAAUGUUCUAGGCCUCACCCUUGACAUGAAAAUUCUUGAGAACAAGAGGAUACGUGGAUCACUUGAGUUGAAAACGGAUGCAUUAAGUAUGAUGGAUAGGCUAAUGCUACUACAACUUAAUUAUGUGCAGACCAAUGGCUCCUACGAGAAAUUUCCAAAAGAAUUAAGAUGGUUGUGUAUGCAUGGGUUCCCUUGGAAGUCUAUACCCUCAGACUUACCAAUGGAGAAUGUAGUUGCUCUUGACAUGUCACAUAGCAAUAUUGAAUCAUUUGGGAUUUUUUAUAGCUAUCCACAACGACUUCAUAAGCGACUCAAGAAAUUGAUUGGAUCAUGCUCGGAUGAUAAAAGGUUGCUUGGAUCGUUGAAGAUUCUUAAUUUAAGUUUCUGUGAACAACUUCGCAGGCUUGGUGGCUUUGAUCACCUCCCUAAACUAGAGAAAUUAAUACUUAAUUGUUGCACCAGUUUGCUUGAGGUUUGUGAAUCAAUUGAGGAAUGUGUUGAACUUGUCCAUGCUGAUCUAAGCUACUGCAACAAGCUUGGUAAACUUCCAAGAAUCAUAGGCAUGUUAAAAAAGGUUAAUACAUUAUUGCUAGAGGGAUGUGCUCUUGGUGAAUCUCGAAUCAAGGUUAACAAUAUUGGCAUAAACUCAAUAACAUCUUCCUCUACCAUUGUGGGGGCUAUGCCAAGUUAUUCAAAGUUCUUUGCAAUUUCAUUACCAAGAUACUUAGUAAGCCUGUCACUUGAGAAUAAUAAUUUGUCCACUGAAUCUUUUCCGGUGGACUUUAGUUGCCUAACCAUGUUAAAGGAGUUACAUCUAGAUGAAAAUCCUAUUGUUUCCCUGCCCUUUUGUGUGAGAAGCCUUCCUAGGCUUCAGAUACUUGGCAUGUCAAAUUGUAAUAUGCUGACAACAAUAGAGAAUCCUCCACCUACAUUAAAGUAUUUAAGUCUAUAUUUUGGCUCUAGUUGUAAUCGUUUGCUACGAAAAGUUGUAUUUGAUCCACAAAUGUCCCCACUCAUGUUCAUAUUCGGCUCCGAGAUGUUUUCAACUUCGUCGUUUGAAUUUGAAGGCAUUGUCAAAAUCCAACCAGUGGCAGAUGUUGAGGAAAAGGUAUUACAUUGUUUGGGCUGGACUAACCUAGACUUCCUUAUUGGAAUGUGCGUUGGAGCUUAUCUUGAUGAUAGAAGAGAGGAAUCUGAAAUCCAGAUGUAUUAUGAAUUUGGAAUAUUCAGCACAAUUUAUUGGAGUAAAGAGAUGCCGAAUUGGAUUACAGAUAGAAGCAUGGGGUCAUCGAUAUCAUUUACCAUCCCAUCAUCACCAAACAAUCUCACAGGAUUAAAUUGCUGCUGUAUGGUGACAUCUCCAUUUACCGAGGAUGUUCAUCUUGAGGUGCCAUUGAUGAAAAUUACUAAUAUAACAAAGAAUCUCACCUGGAUAUACCAACAUUAUGUUGGCAGUGUACUUGAUGUCGGUGGAAAGAGUUUGAUGUUGUUAAGCCAUUGGAUGUUUGGGAUGAAUGAGAUGGAAUGUGGUGAUCACGUUACUAUUACUGUUACCAUUAGGGAGAAUCCAGAUGUUAUUGGUAAUGCAGUUGCUAAGGAGUGUGGGGUGAGUUUUGUUUAUGAUAAUGAAAGUAAGGAUGAAGAAGAAGAUGCAUUGGGUUAUUACAAGUCAUGGAAUCACAUCAUUGGUGGAGAUCUCACUGCAUUUCAAACGACAACAGGAGAAUACAUCUUAAGCAAAUGGCGAAUUCUAGCUCCAUACAUGGAUCUAGGUAUGUGUGGAGAUGGAACCCUCUUUAAAGAUGAGCAAGUGCACUUUAGAGCUCUCUCUCAAAGGAAGUCUAACAUACUGGAGGAUGGCCCUUAAGGUGGCAGUGAAGGCUACGCUUUGUGACUCCAAAGACGUUACCCUUUGUGUUGGUCUGUUACAUGGCAGACAUUCGCAUCAACACAACAAUUAAUCAACGAAUUAAUCAAUUACACCCAAAAAGCCGAUCGUACCUGUAAACAAUGUGAAAAAAGGGGGGAGGUGGAAGCGGCCGGAGGCCGGAGGAGGAGGCUGCGUCGGUGUCGUCGACCGGAGACCAGAGGCGGAGCUGUGUCGGAAGAAGCGGUGUGGAGUCAAAGACUUUGUGUUGUUGAUGAGUCAUGUUGCGUUCGUCUUGUGAAAAGUAACCACGUAUCAACAGAAAAGGGAACGCGGUCAAAAUCGGAACAUUCGAUUCAAUUUUGACUUUUGGGUCAAAAGAAUGAAUAAGAAUUGUUGUUGCUUUUAACAAGCCAGUUAGGAAUUGAAGAGCUUGGAAGAAUUCCUCAAGUUUGACCGGGAAUAUAACCAGGUUUACUUACAACAUUCUAAUUAUUUUUUUCUUUCAAGAACUUUGGAUUAUUGGAGUAUUAAUUAAUCUCUUGUCCCCUCAACCACUAGUGUCUUACAAAUACCGUAAGAAUUACCUCUAUGCAGAUGUCCAAAUCAGUAUUGCACGGUUGACGUCGCAAUGGGUAUGCAAUCUAUUAAUGAAGCGUAUUAGAAAAUGGAUAGCUCUGUACUUGAUUUCAAAUUGAGCCGUAUUAGAUCUAGGUUUUAACUAUAUUAGAUUUCAAGCUAAUAA